This is a long non-coding RNA of Cucurbita maxima (winter squash), 152 nucleotides long. RefSeq lists it as uncharacterized. The record is from RefSeq and is a predicted model, not a curated record. The transcript has 3 exons. NCBI's taxonomy places the organism in Eukaryota, Viridiplantae, Streptophyta, Magnoliopsida, Cucurbitales, Cucurbitaceae.
GGGAAGCCGAAAGCAAAGUCAUGAUAGCUGAUGUCCAUUGGUAUGAGACCUUCUGGGAUGCCUAAAGCAAAGUCACAAUAGUUGAUGCUUAAAGUGGACAAUAUCAUACCAUUGUAAAGAGUUGUGUUCGUCUAAAAAAAAUUUAAGAGAAA